GAUGAAGAACGCAGCGAAAUGCGAUAAGUAAUGUGAAUUGCAGAAUUCAGUGAAUCAUCGAAUCUUUGAACGCACCUUGCGCCCUUUGGCCAUUGCGAAGGGCAUGCCUGUUUGAGUAUCAUGAACACCUCAACUCUUUAUGGUUUUCCAUGAUGAGCUUGGACUCUGGGGGUUUUGCUGGCUCACAGUCGGCUCCUCUAAAAUGAAUCAGCUUACCAGUGUUUGGUGGGUAUCAUGGGUGUGAUAACUAUCUACGCUUGUGGUUUUUCCACCAGGUAACCUUCAGCAGUGGAGGUUCGCUGGAGCUCUUAGAUGUCUCUCCUCAGUGAGGACAGCCCUUUGAAUGUUUGAUCUCAAAUCAGGUAGGACUACCCGCUGAACUUAAGCAUAUCAAUAAGCGGAGGA
Molecule: unclassified non-coding RNA, 405 nt
Filed under: soil metagenome
Description: partial contains 5.8S ribosomal RNA, internal transcribed spacer 2, and large subunit ribosomal RNA
Rfam family: 5.8S ribosomal RNA (bases 1-121)
Source: RNAcentral